Potamilus streckersoni is the source of this 77-nucleotide non-coding RNA. NCBI's taxonomy places the organism in Eukaryota, Metazoa, Mollusca, Bivalvia, Unionida, Unionidae. The record is from the annotation of a GenBank genome assembly.
GACCGCUCCGGUGGCCUAGCAGUCAGAGCGUUCACUUCGGAUGCGGAAGGUCUUGGGUUAGAUCCCCGGCCUAGUCA